Non-coding RNA from Myodes glareolus (Bank vole), 418 nucleotides. The record is from RefSeq and is a predicted model, not a curated record. NCBI's taxonomy places the organism in Eukaryota, Metazoa, Chordata, Mammalia, Rodentia, Cricetidae.
CAGGGCCCGGUGACGUGACCCAGUUCCCGACUCCCAUUAGCUACGUGGCCUGGCCGGAAGACGCUUUCGUGGCACCCCGGGUCCUGGAAGUUGUGAUGCACUACAUCCUCUAGCGUACCAAUUGUAUCCAUCGAGGAUACCACGUGGAUUUGCCCCGCGCGAUCGUGCAGAAGUAAUUAUCAGAAGAUCUCAACACUUGGGGGCAGUAGAGAUGGCUCAAAGGUCCAGAGCUCUAGCUCUCAACCUUCCCAAUGCUGCGACCCUUUACUUCCGCAUGUUGUGCCGAUUCCACUCUGAGAAGACGGCCCACAGAACUUCUGCUCCCAGGGAGCGCCGACAUGUGCAGCUUCCACCAGGAUGAACGAUGUCCUCUAUUCCCAGUUAACUGAAACAGAGAAUAAAUGGAAAUAAAUCCUUG